AAGAAAAACCAAAUUUUUGUUUUCAUGCAAUGCAGUAGAAUUGCAACCACAUGGCGGCGAAUUUAUUUAGGAUGAGGAUGGGGGUUUGUCGGGGCCCCUUUACGCCAUCACAAGUUUGGGACUAAAAAUCGUAUAAUGAAUUCCUCCCUUCAGCAAACUUCCUGUCCUGCUCUCUCCUGACAAACAGUUCGCACAGGGUGUCCUAGCGUGCUACUUCCCAUAAAUAUGUCUCCCGGCAUUUGGGGACGGGACAAAAUAUGAAAGGCCUACGACACACAACCUCCAAGUGAGUGUGCCUCCAUCUGUGUGUGCAGGCGGCAGAAAGCCGCCAGGAUGAACCGAAAAAUGUUGACAGCCGUUCAACGUACACAUUUUGCUGUGAACCUGUUCGUUUGACUUGUUUGAUGGUUUUAUGAGUGUCAAAACUUGACAGCUUAAUAGACAUUUUUAUGGCAGGCAAUCGCACUUUCAUUGUUAUUGGGGAGAGAGAUACACAGGAGAGGGUGAGGGAGAGAGAGAAGGGAGCACGCAUGUACAUACAUAUACAGCGAUGGUAUGUUGGUCGUCGUUCCUGCCCCAUAGAAAGCAAGGGAUGGAUGCUGUAAGCCCCGCUAACGGCGAAAAAGCCUUUGCAAGCACACACACACCCCUCCAAAUUCAUACUACCCAGUGGACAAAAUCUUCGGCAACGCGCAAGCCCCUAAUACAUUUCCUGGCCUCUGUGCCACGCCAAGAACACUGUCGUGCGACCUUGUCCGCAAGAAAGAUGGUGCGAAGAGCUACGAAUCCAUUGGUCGAACGCUUCCUCGCUGGACAUCUAAAGCUCUGAGAUCUGUACAGAAUAGUAGUAGGUCGCAAACGCUUUCUUCUUGGUGUUGCACACAUCCACCUCCACUUCGGGUAUAAAAUCCAAAUUAUGCGCGUAAAAAAUGAUGGCUGAGGGAUAUGGUAAAACUAUACAUAUAAUUCUUCAAAUAAAUACCUUAAACCAAUUGUAUCACUGGAGCCAAUGACCUAGUUCACCAAGAAAAUUUUAUCAGGGAUCAAUGAUGGAUCUCCUACGAUAGUUCUGAUGAUCGCACAUAAAUAAAUGAAUUCAUGAUCAGCUGAAAAGAAGCGUUAAAAUAGUAUGAUACUUAGUUCGUAUUUAAUAUGAUUUAGGAUUAAAUGAAAGCUUAAAUCAAGAAACGAAAAACGCAAAGAAAGACAAGCUGACUGCUGUGAGACUAUAAGCUGGGCGCUAAGAAUCUAUAAGACGGGGGCUGUCAAAGCUAGCUUGUAUGAAACUAUCAAAGCUGGCUAUCAACAAUUGUUAAUUUCAUUGGAGGAUAAGCUUAAUAAUAAAUGUUGCGCCCAACAGCA
This 1362-nucleotide small RNA is filed under the name Drosophila pseudoobscura pseudoobscura. RNAcentral describes it as "GA30793". The record is from RNAcentral. Lineage: Eukaryota; Metazoa; Arthropoda; Insecta; Diptera; Drosophilidae.